AGAGUUUGAUCCUGGCUCAGGACGAACGCUGGCGGCGUGCUUAACACAUGCAAGUCGAACGGAAAGGUCUCUUCGGAGAUACUCGAGUGGCGAACGGGUGAGUAACACGUGGGUGAUCUGCCCUGCACUUCGGGAUAAGCCUGGGAAACUGGGUCUAAUACCGGAUAGGACCACGGGAUGCAUGUCUUGUGGUGGAAAGCGCUUUAGCGGUGUGGGAUGAGCCCGCGGCCUAUCAGCUUGUUGGUGGGGUGACGGCCUACCAAGGCGACGACGGGUAGCCGGCCUGAGAGGGUGUCCGGCCACACUGGGACUGAGAUACGGCCCAGACUCCUACGGGAGGCAGCAGUGGGGAAUAUUGCACAAUGGGCGCAAGCCUGAUGCAGCGACGCCGCGUGGGGGAUGACGGCCUUCGGGUUGUAAACCUCUUUCACCAUCGACGAAGGUCCGGGUUCUCUCGGAUUGACGGUAGGUGGAGAAGAAGCACCGGCCAACUACGUGCCAGCAGCCGCGGAAUACGCAGGGUGCGAGCGUUGUCCGGAAUUACUGGGCGUAAAGAGCUCGUAGGUGGUUUGUCGCGUUGUUCGUGAAAUCUCACGGCUUAACUGUGAGCGUGCGGGCGAUACGGGCAGACUAGAGUACUGCAGGGGAGACUGGAAUUCCUGGUGUAGCGGUGGAAUGCGCAGAUAUCAGGAGGAACACCGGUGGCGAAGGCGGGUCUCUGGGCAGUAACUGACGCUGAGGAGCGAAAGCGUGGGGAGCGAACAGGAUUAGAUACCCUGGUAGUCCACGCCGUAAACGGUGGGUACUAGGUGUGGGUUUCCUUCCUUGGGAUCCGUGCCGUAGCUAACGCAUUAAGUACCCCGCCU
Molecule: ribosomal RNA, 866 nt
Filed under: Mycobacterium tuberculosis variant bovis BCG str. Moreau
Lineage: Bacteria; Bacillati; Actinomycetota; Actinomycetes; Mycobacteriales; Mycobacteriaceae
Description: bacterial SSU rRNA
Rfam family: Bacterial small subunit ribosomal RNA
Source: RNAcentral